RNAcentral lists this ribosomal RNA (301 nucleotides) under uncultured bacterium. RNAcentral's name for it is "partial 16S ribosomal RNA". It matches the Rfam family "Bacterial small subunit ribosomal RNA", at positions 512 to 810 of the family's 1533-position model. The record is from RNAcentral.
CAGCCGCGGUAAUACGGAGGGGGCUAGCGUUGUUCGGAAUUACUGGGCGUAAGGCGCACGUAGGCGGCUUGGUAAGUUAGAGGUGAAAGCCCGGAGCUCAACUCCGGAAUUGCCUUUAAGACUGCCGAGCUAGUAGGUGAGAGAGGUAAGUGGAAUUCCGAGUGUAGAGGUGAAAUUCGUAGAUAUUCGGAAGAACACCAGUGGCGAAGGCGGCUUACUGGCUCAUCCUAGACGCUGAGGUGCGAAAGCGUGGGGAGCAAACAGGAUUAGAUACCCCGGUAGUCCCUGUCUCUUAUACACA